Molecule: long non-coding RNA, 32164 nt
Organism: Panthera uncia (snow leopard)
Lineage: Eukaryota; Metazoa; Chordata; Mammalia; Carnivora; Felidae
Exons: 2
Source: RefSeq, a predicted model, not a curated record
CCCCCCCCGGCAUUGCUGUCUACUUUAAAUAGUAUUGUGGUGGUGAACAUGGUACCUAAUGAAUGGGGAGAGGGUUGGAAGCAUCGCUGUCUCUGAUUUUUAAUCUUUCUUUCCAUAGUCCGUUCUUUUAUCCUUCUCUUUGGGAGUCGGGUGGGGGUCUGGAUAGGGGCCGCAAAAGAGAAUUAAGAUUUAUUUUAAUUCUCUUUAGUUAAUUUGAAUUCUAAUGCAGUCUGCAAACGUGAUUUUCUGCAUGGUCAUUUAUUUCCAAAGGCAUCCCCCAGUGUUGUCUUUUCUAGGUUCGGUAUCUUCUCCUUAUGUCUAGAGGAGAUUUAACUUUUGAGGCUAUCCAUCCUUCUUAAAAAAAAAAAAAAAAAAUCUAAUUAGCAUUCUUUAAAGUUAUACCUCCUUUUUUUUUUUUUUUUUUACACCCCCCCCCUCCCCCCUUGUUUCCUGCUGGGUUGAAACGGAUUGAAGCACAUCCACGGUUUCUCAGUAUAACCAAACUAGAGUUUGGGAAUUUUUAUGGCUUGGCUGGCAAUGUUGAGUGUUGUUUUUUUUUUUUUCCCCCUUCUGUGCUUGACUCUGCUUGCAAGCAAUGAGGAAUGACAGGAGAGCACAUAGGGAGGGUUUCUUGGCUGAUUGCAUUUAAGCCAGGAAUUCACUGUGAAAAUAAAGCCAAGGGGCGAUAAAUAAAAGAUGCAAUCUUCUCUAGGAGACAGACACACAGCGUGGGCUUUGCCUGCUUUCAUCAGUGAAGAGGCCUGGGUGAGUUGUAAAAGAAAAUAGUAACUUUUUGAAUAGUCCCCAAAGGGGAGGGAGGCCACUGAAUGGAGUUGGCAGUAGUUGAUAUGAAAUCGUAUGAUGCUGUUUGCAUAGCUUGAAGAGUUGACCACCCUUUCGGAAACACUUACAUACGUGCUAAACAAGUGCUGUACAAAUUGUGGAAAAUAUUCUUUUUUCCCCUCUGAGUUGUGCCAGUUUCCUUAACUUCCAAGUUGUAUUACUUGUUGUGCCAGUCAGCUUAUGAGAUGGAAGGCUGUUAAAUGCCUGGCAGCUGGCUCUGUGAGAUAGAAAACUCAGGACCAGGAUUUCUUUUCCUUGAUGAAGAACAGAGAGAAUGGCUAGAUUAACCAUCUAACUUAGCUUUAAGUGGUGGUUUGAAUUGGUAUACUAACACAAGAGACUUAUUUUAUAAUUUUUCGAUAUGAGGUAGAAGUCAUUUUUGCUUCAGAACGUGACAUGGAAAAUAACACCAUAUACCAUGAUAGAACCAUAAGCAAUAUUCUGGUAUUCCAAAAUUACAAGUUUGUUUGUACAGGAAGUAUUCACUGACUUUUGUAGAGAUGACUAAAUUAUAGAUGCAGCAGGGAAAAUCUAGUUGUUUGACACUGUUGAAGAUUUUUUUAAGUAUUGAGGGUCAAUGAAUUGGGACUUAUCAGAAAUUAAACAUGUUUAUUAGUUAUUUUUAAACUCCUAUUUUAAGAAGAAAUUUAAAGGGAAAAAAAUUAAGUCUUUGAUGUAGUAGUUGUAAUAGUUGUAAAUGGUAUUUAAUUGGUGCAGAACUGUCCAUCAGUUAAUUAUUGGAAGUUUUGGAGAAAGUGUAGUUCGCUAAUUUUUUAUUGAUUGAUAUUAUAUCAAGAGAGAGUCAUUGCUGAAGGUACUUGUAUGUAAAUAUUAUCGACACCACUGAAGUAAUAAUUUAGAAGGCAUGUAAAAAAAUUUCCCCAAAGUUUUGCCUGGGAAAGAGAGCUUUCUUAUUAUGACCUGAAACUCAAAUUUUAAGGACAAAUAACUUGAAUUAAAAGACAGACAAAUUUAAUUGGAUAAAAAAACCUAAAAAUUUCUGGAAGACUGAAAACGUGAUAAAUGAAGUUAAGCAGCUAACUGGGGCAAAUAUUUGCAGCAUGUUGGAGGCUAACGAGAACUCUGAAAAAUUAGUUUAAAAAAUAAAAGGGAGGGAUGAAUAAUUUAGUUAAAACACGGGCAACACAUUUCACAAAGAAAUGUAAAUGAUCAAUUUGUCUUCACUCUUGUUGUUAGUAAAGGUGACAGGCCACGUUCUUCUGCCACAUCGGUGAAGACAAAAAAGAUGGGUAGAUAGCACCCAGAAUUGGCUGAGGAGGUGGGAGAAGAUGCUGCCUCCCUGGUUCCUUGGCUCUGUCUUUUUAUGUCAUUUCUAGGAAUUUAUUUUCUACAUUCAUUGAUAUUCAUGCACAAAGAUGUUCUGUACGUUGAGCAAUGCUCAUUGCAGUAUCUGUAAUACUGAAAAGCUGGAGUCUGUGGAAAUUUCCAUCUGAAGGGAACUGGUUAAGAAGUACUCUAUGGAAUUCUACGCAACCGUGAAAAACAGAGAGAGAGAUAAAUAUAUAUACUGAUAAGAAAAGGUGACCAGAAUAUUUUAUUUAAAAACAAGUCAGCUCUUCAUACAGUAGGCUGUAAUUUCUGUUUAAAACAAAAAAGAUAGACUUACAGAUGCAUAAAAAUUUCUGGAAGGCUACACAAGCAACCACUGAAUAGUGGUUAUCUUUGGAAAAGGGCAGUCAAGUGGAUGGGUGUACUUUUGGGGGGGGUUACUUUUCAUUUUAUGAUUGUCUUAUGGUUGGAUUUUUCUAAGAUCAGAAGCGCUCAUUUUUGUAAUUAAAAAGUCUUAGAAAAAUUAUCUUGUGUUUUUCAAUUUUUUGUUUGUUUUGCGGUGUGUGUGUGUCCUCUUUCGGAAAAUUGGUAUACAUUUGAUUUUGUAUUGAAACAAACAAGUUUGCUUAAUUUGUGACUAAUCAGUUUAAAAUAAGUAUUUAAACAAAACUGGGAUCUUGCCUUUAGUAUGGGCAGGAAGAAGAUAAAUUUUAAAAGGAGUUGCUUUUUUUUGUUUGUUCUGUUUUGUUUUGUUUUGCUGGUUACUUUUCGGAGAAAGGAAUAUUCCCCGGAAUUCUGUUAACACUUUGGUAAACAUUUUUUUAUGGACUUUUUAGAUUCAUAACUUAAAAUUUCUUGUUUUAGGGAGUGGCAAGGCAGUAAAAGGGAAUCUGUUUUAGAAUUAGGUUGGAUAAAAUUUUUAGUCACUUUAUUUAAGGCUAAUUUGUGGGCAUUUCUUUGAGUGUUUUGGUUUUCUUUAUAGACCAGAGAUUGUUAUAUGAAAGUAUGAUUCUGGGUACACUUUCAGAAUGGGAUGUUUUGUUUACUGUUGAUAGUAUAUUUCAUUGAAAGCAUUUUCAAGAGGGAAGUGAUAAUAUAGAACAUUUAAAAAUUAGAUCCUAUGUUUUCUUCCUUUUGAUUAAUGAAAAAGUACACAAAACAAAGUUUGAAACUAGUUGCAUAUGUCUUCUUUUAUUCUGUGCCAGUUAAAAUGUUUGAUUUGCUUACAAUUGAUUUUUGAAAGUAUCUGAGUACUUAGUAUGUGCUCAGCAUUGUUCUGAGGAAGGUUAAAAUUUCAAUUUUUUCAAUUAUAUGUGGGGAAAUCUUGGAAUUUCCAUCUCUGGUGGCUAGUAUUGGUCCAGUGAGGAAAUCUAAAGUGUUCAGGAAACAACAAUACUUGUAGCCAAAAGAUUUCAAUAAGAUGGAAGGUGAAUUGCAGAUCUGAAUUAAGCAAACAUUUUUACUAUUGCUUCAGGCUUUAAUUUCUUGCCAUACAGUUAGUUGUAUUCUGAGUACACCCUUGGGGUGAGGAGGAAAAGGCCAUCCCCAUUAUUUUAUUUCAACUGUGCAUUGAAUUUCGUCCUUUCUGUAAAGACUUUGAUGCCUUUCCUUUUAGAAACAUCAGGAUGACUGUGGAACAUGUCCUUUAAUAGAAGAAUUAUUGCAAUUAAUUGACCAACUCAAGUCAUUAUUGUCUUAAGUAUGUUCUGGCCGAUUUUUAAGAUGUUUAUCCUGGGCCUCUUUUCUUUUCACAAUGGGUAAUCAAUUGCCAUCAAUUCUAACUCUAAAUGUUUCAUUUGUGUUUCAUGAGCAGGCCAGCACAUCUUUUCUGGUCACACUCAUAUUAAGGGUUUAGUUAAUGUUUGAUUUCAGUGGGCAGUAUGUUCAGUGAAAAGGAUGGCAAUGGAAGAAUACCAAUGUUGUCUUUUAAGAAAGCAACCCCUUUUAAAAGUUACACAAUUGGGUCUGUAGUAAUUCCACAUGCUUACAUGCUCUGUUUUUGUGUUAGAAAACCGUUUUUCUUUAAUACUUCAAAAUGAAUUUGGUACCUUUAAGAAGCUUUGUUACAUACACAUAAAAUUAAACAAAACUCCUGUGGUGUUAGCAGUUUUUAUAGGGGUGGUCAUUAAACUUGAACUGUUGUUGACCUUCAACUGUUAUAUUUAAGGGGACAAAUAUCCUAGAAAAGAAAGAAGAUCAUAGUUAACUAUAAACAUCUUAGAAACAAAGCAGAUUAUAGGCAACUGUUUUUUAGGUGACAAUAAACUAUGUGGGACUCACAAAACCAUUUUUAGUUAUCUUUCAAAUUAUUGUGUAAUCUCAAGACCAGUGCUUUUUCACAACAAAAAAAAACUAAUUUAAUUUUCUUGGUUUAUUAAUUUUUUGACAUGUGUAAAUAUUUGGGGAUUACAGUAAAUUAGAAAACAUAAACAGUUUCCUUUAAGUGGAUAGGAAGACUCUCCAUCUCCUUUUGAAAAAUCAGUCUCAAGUGGUAAUUUGGAGAAAAAUACUACAUAGUCUUGUCUCAUGAAAGGAGACUCUAGUUUCUUAGUCCUAGCCAGUCUCACAAAUAAAGUAUGUUGGUUUAAAAAACAUAUCUUUGCAGGGGCACCUGGGUGGCUCAGUUGGUUGGGCAUCUGACUUGAGCUCAGGUCAUGAUCUGGCAUUUGUAAGUUUGGUGAGUUUGGUAAGUUCAAGCCCGGCAUUGGGGCUCCCCGCUGAUAGCUCAAAGCCUGGAGUCUGCUUCGGAUUCUGUGUCUCCUUCUUUCUCUGCCCCUUCCCCACCUGUGCUCUGUGUCUCUCUCUGUCUCUCUCAAAAAUAAAUAAAUAAGCUUAGGAAAAAAACCCCCAUCUUUGCAGUUUUUGCUUUCAGUGCCAUGUGUUCUGCUAAGAAUAUGCUUUAAACAUGGUUUUUAGUUCUUUAAAAAUAGGAUGCUUCCUUUUAUUUUUCUCAUCUAGAAAAGGUAGUUAAAGUAAGCUUUAGAGAGAAAGCAGUGCAAAAUCUGGUUUUCAUUUGAAAUUUAAAGAUUGACUUUCAGCAAAUAGUAAGUGGACUUUGGUAAGGGUGUGCUAAGUGAUUUAUAUUUGUGGGAUUCCUCAGUGAUAAUUAGAUUCGGGUCAGUUAAUAUGUAUUGUAUAUAUUUACAUAUAUUUACUUACGUAUUUGUAACUAAUUUGAUGUUCACAAGUGCACAUAAAAGGAGAUGAACUCAGUGUCAUUUGGGUAUCAUUACCCGAAGCAUAUUUCAGUGACCCUGUGUAUAGAUACAUUGUGCUGUUUCUUCUUAAAAUAUGCUAACAGAUGAGAAGCAUUUUGUUUUUACAAAAUGCGUUUGUAUGAUAGUUAUUAUCUACUUGUAGAGCUGAGGCGCAGACAUGUUGAGUAGUUUGUCCAGAGAGGGGUAAUAAAUUGCAAAGUUAAAUGUUGAAUUUCUGUUUUUCCUCCCUUCAGUCUGCCUGUUAAUUUGCUGGAGAUGUUUGGUGAAUUCCACAAACCCCCAGAACUCUGCGUAUUCUUUUUAUUUUUUUUAAAGAUUUUUUUUUUUUUUCUUUUUAAGUUAUCUCCACACCCACUGUGGGGCUUGAAUCCACAACCCUGGCAUCAAGAGUUGCAUGCUCCACUGACUAAGCCAGCCAGGCUCCAGGCUCCAGGACAAGUCUUUUUUUUUUUUUUUUUUUUUGAGCUUAUUUAUUUGAGGCACCUGGGUGGCUCAGUCGAUUGAUCGGCUGACUUCAGUUCAGGUCAUGAUCUCACAGUUCAUGGGUUUGAUCCCCAUGCUUUGGAUCCUUUGUCCCGCUCUCUCUCUCUGCCCUCCCUCGCUUGAACUACUCUUUCUUUCAAAAGUAAGUAUUUUUGAGAGAGAGAGGGAGAGAGAGAGCAUGGGUGAGCGUGAGUGAGGGAGGGGCAGAGAGAGAGUUGGAGAAGGAGAGAGAGAGAAUCCCAAGCAGGCUAUCAGUGCAGAGGCACAUGCAGGGCUCGAAUUUACAAACCCUGAAAUCAUGACCUGCGCCAAAAUCCAGAGUCAGACGCUUAACCGACUGAGCCACCCCACAUGCCCCAGGCCAGGCAUAUUCUUGAAUGUAAAAUGAUUGGAGUGUUGGAGAGAUUAUUUGGCUAACAUUUUACUGAAUGUUCUAAAAGUAUUUCUAGAUAGCAUUUCAGUUUCUGGUGGAAAUCUAAUGGCUUCAGUUAAGCAAUGAUUGUAGCUUGCUGAAUACAUGCUAGUGUGAAAAUAUUUGUAGACAUUUGGAAAUUGUAGAGGUUGUAGGGUGAGACCAAAGUUCUGAAGAAGUUAGACUUUUAACUGUAUGAAACUACAUUACAGUUGUGUGAAUAUACAUGAAUGCACUCCUAUACCUGUACACCUAUGUAAUAAAGAAUUUACUAAAUGUUUAAAAUGCUUGUGCAGAACAAGAGAAGUUAAUACCCAGUAAGAAAUUUGGCUGCUCUGAAUUUAGUACAUUUGUGAAAACUUAACCAGUGUCUACAUUUGACUUAUUUUUGUAGGCUUUUCCAGUGUUUUUGUCAGAAUCCCCUACCCUCAUGCCAGUAAAUAGUAUAUAAACAGUCCCUAGAUGUAUGGGAUCUUUCAUGUAAUUGAUGUGGUCUCAGAACUUUAGUAACCUCUCUAAUUCCUAAAGACCUCUUGUUUGGGUGGCUUUUCUUUAUCGAAGGAAGCAUGAUUUACGGUGAGCUUUUUAAUAUUACUGCAACAACAUUUACUAACUAAUAAUCGUAGUUAACACUUUCAUACCCUUAACCUUGUGCCAGAUACGGCUCCAAGCACUUUAUAUUUCUUAACAGUCCUAUGAGGUAGGUACUUUUAUCAUUCUCAUUUUACAGAUGAGGAAACUGAAGUAUUGGAAAAAAAUGAAAGUGACUUUGCCCAUUUACACAGACUGGUACAUUACUGAGCCAGACACAGCCUCUCUGGGUGGUACUCUUACCCUCUAAGUAAUACUGCCCACGAGGGGCGCCUGGGUGGCUCAGUUAGUUGGGCCAGUUAGUUGGUCUGACUUAGGCUCAGGUCAUGAUCUUAUGGUUGGUGGGUUCGAGCCCUGUCUCCAGCUCUGUGCUGACAGCUCAGAGACUGGAGCCUGCUUCGGAUUCUGUGUCUCCCUCCCUUUCUGCCCCUCCCCACUCACACUCUGUCUCUCUCUCAAAAAUAAGUAAACAUUAAAAAAAAAUUAAAAAAUUUUUAAUGCCCAUGAUGCAUCAUCAUUAACUAUUCUAGAGGGUUCAUCUUUAGAUCUAUUAUAGUCUUUUCUACUUUAUAGAGUGAUUUUCAUGGUGGCCAGAAUUUUAAAUUAUCACAACUGUGAUUUUUUUUUAAGGUUUAUUUUAUUUUGAGACAGAGAAAGUGAGUGCGAGUGGGGGAGGGGCAGAUUGAGGGUGGGAGAGAGAGAAUCUGGAACAGGCAUUGUACCAUUAGUGCAGAACCCGAUGUGGAGUUUGAAUGCAUGAAUCAUGAAAUUAUGACAGCCAAAAAUCAAGAGCUGGAUGCUCAACCGACUGAGUCACCCAGGCUCCCACAACUCUAUGAUUUUUGAAAAAAAAUAUUUAUUUUUGAGAGAGAGAGCACCAUUGGUGGAGGGGCAAAGAGAGAGAGAGAGGAGGACAGAGGAUUCGAAGUGGGCUUUGUGCUGUGCUGACAGCAGUGAGCCCAGUGCAGGUCUCUGACUCAUGAACGAAUGGAACCAUGAGAGCGGGACCUGAGCCGAAGUCGGACCCCUCACCAUCUGAGCCACCCAGGUGCCCAAAGCUAUGAAUUUUAACAUGUAUUUUAGAAUUUGACUUGAAAAACUGCAUUUCACAAAUUCCUCUUAUGAAUGAAUUUCAGCUUUGGAAGAUGGUUGUGUGGGGUGAUUUUGAUCAUCUUCCAUUGGGCAUUUUUUAACUUUUUUUAAAAGUUUAUUUAUUUUGAGAGAGGGAGAGAGAGCAUGCGUGCAACAUGAGUGGGGGACCCCGGGGGUGGGGUGGGGGGAGACAGAGAGAGAGAGAGAGAGAGAGAGAGAGAGAGAGAGAGAGAACCCCAAGCAGGCUCUGUGGCCAGUGUGGGGAUCAGUCCCACAAACUGUGAGAUCAUGACCUGAGCUGAAAUCAAGAGUUGGUGGCUGAACCGACUGAGCCACCCAGGCACCCUCCAUUUUUAACUUUUGAAAGAGGAAUUAACUUGUAGGUUAGAUCUAAAUGUGGUAUAUAUGAGGCAAAGGUAAUCUUUCAAGGUAAAUUUUAGAAAUUCUGUAUUUAUCUCAUUUUAAGGCCCCUUUUAAAUGUUUUGAUUAAAAAUCAUUAUUUCUUGUGGCUGGUAAAAAGAUUUCAUAUUCUUUGAGAGGCAGAGAGUUCAUUGGAAAGAUGUUAAUUUGAAGGAUGCAGUAGGACCUGUCAGUACAUUUAAACUGGUACUAACUGAAUAAAGUGAUCAGAUAAAUUGGAAGCUCAUUUAGCGAAUUAAUGUGCUUAAAUUCAGGUGACUCACUGCCUGGUCCUGCCUUAUUUACCAGUCUCCCUGUUUACUUAAUGCAUUUUUUAUUGUUAAUUGGUGUCAGAUCUCUAAUGAUGGAAGAUAUUAUACUGAAAAUAAGCAUAGGAAGGUAGCAUGUAGAGUGAGUCCACAAAAGCAAGAUUUAAAUUCUCUUAAUUAGAUCAGUACAAUUUAGAAUGCUAUAUGUGCCACAUUGUACCUGUUAAAUAUUUGCUAACAGUGACCAGCAUUUUUAUAAAUGAAAUAUUGAUGUUUUAUAAUUUCAGUGUAUGGGCAGAGCCUGGAGCCUCUUCUCGUGUUGUGUUAAUCUUUCUUGGUGACGGCCUGCCGAAGUUAUACUCAACCUUUGCUCCUGCUAUAGCUUGAUAUUAACCAAUUUCCACAGACAAGAUGGUCAUGGUUUUCAUAAAUAUUUGUCAUAAUAUAAGCCCCUAAAAUUCAAAUACCAGAAAUUUGUAAUCUUAUUGGUGUAUGUGAAGGAGCAUCUUUUUUUAUACAUUUGCAUUCUUUCUUUAGGACUUUGCUUUCUUAGCACUUCUUGACACUUCUGAUUUUGUACUCUUCACACUGUCUUUUAGGCCACCCCUUCCCUGCCAGUCACCUAUGUGUUUUUUUUCUUCUACUUUCUCUAGACCAUGGUAAACCUGAGGACUGAAAUAAAUGACCAGUGGCUGGUUUGUGAUGAUGGUAGAAUCAAGUGAGAGAAACCUGAGAGUAGGAGGUGGCGGAGCCUCUGAACCUUCUUCAGCGCUUCACUGUCUUCCUCCCUUUCUCCCCUUCCCACACUUCCUUCUUGUCUUUCCUCCUUUCUUGAGUGUGGGAGAUGGAGUGGUGGGAGUGAGGAGUAGGAGGGAGUGGUAGGAAAAAAGGCAAGAAAUCUGGGAGAGGUAGAAAAUACCAGCUGAGAGCUUAUUCUGUUCCCUUCCUUCUCUGCUUUUAGUUGUCUCCUCCCCUUAAACCUCCCUUGAUUUAGGGAAAUAAAGCUGAGGUCACAAGGACCUAUGUGUUCCAGCUGCUGCUUGGCUGCUAUUUUUAGCCUGGCCCUGCAUCAGGCUGGCACCGGGCCAUGAUGGCACAGGGCCAGCACGUUGUGGGACUGCUGGCAAAUGUCAAAAACCUAACUUUUCGGUUAUCAAACUGAAAUUUCAGAUAUAUUCUCCACGAUGAUACUCUACUUAUCUCUACUUUUUUGAAAUGGGACAUAUAUGUUUAUUUUUAGAAAAGAUUGAGUUUUGACAGUGGUCAUCAUACUACUAUAACUAUUUUAGACAGGAGGAAGAUUUAAGAAUUGCACUAUCGGGUCAUUGUUAUAUCCUGCUCAGUAAUUUUGGUUUUGUGGUGGCACCAAGAAGUGUGAAAUUUGCCCGACCUAUUUAAUAUGUCUUGGGCAUCUUUUUAAAAAAAUUUUUUUUUUAAACAUUUAUUUAUUUUUGAGACAGAGAGAGACGGAGCAUGAACGGGGAAGAGUCAGAGAGAGAGGGAGACACAAUCUGAAACAGGCUCCAGGCUCUGAGCUGUCAGCACAGAGCCCGAUGCGGGGCUCGAACUCAUGUACUGCGAGAUCAUGACCUGAGCUGAAGUCGGCCGCUUAACCGACUGAGCCACCCAGGUGCCCCUGGGGCAUCUUUUAAAAUUGCCAUUGCUGUUGAAGUUGUAGAGUCCGAAUUGGUUUAUAUAAUUAUAGGUGUCAUCAGGCAUUUUUAAAAAACAUAUGUACUGUUUUUUUCUAUAGCUGUCAGUGUUCUCUUUGCUAAUUCGGUUGUGUGUGUUUAGGUUUGGUUAAUACUGUAGAAAUAUGUUUCACAAACAAAAAACUUACUGUUUAUUUUCAUGGGGAGCAGCUAGGUUUCUGGAAUAUCAGUGUCUUUGUAUAGAUUUACCCAGUAUCAUGUGGAUUUUCUUUGCAAACUGAGUUUUAAAUUUUGGAUGCACAUGUGGAUUUCAGUACUUACCUGGUUAUUAGUUGCACUCAAAAUGAAAAGUAAGUUGUAUUUUUUCUUGAAUGCCGUUUUGGAAAAAAGUAAAAAAAAAUGUUGGAGUGUGAAUCUUUAUCUUUGGAAGGGACUUUGGUAAGAACUGUUUAUAUUCUUUCCACAGUGGUACGUAGAAGAGCUUGAGGUUAUUCUAGGUAUGAUUUUCCAUUUACCAUGGACUACAGUGAAUAUGAGUAGAACCAGAGAUGAUGGUUAUUCAACCUUAUUCAAAGAGUAGUAAUGCUGUAAUAUACUUAGGUCUUUUGAAUGGCAGGAUAACAUUUAGUGCAUUGAUCUGAUGUCCUUCUUAAAGUAGCACAGAAUUUUUGGCCAAAAUAACUAGAAAUAGAGUCUGAUUGAUUUUUUUUUUCUUCACUUUAUCUUUAAGGCAGUUAUUGGAUGAAUUCUGCUGAAUUCAUUUUUGUGAAAUAAGGAAGUUUAGGUGAGGGAUUUAGUGAAAGGUGAAUUUGUGAUCUAAUAGCUUAGAGAAGGCAGAUAUUUUAGAGUUUAUUUACGUUUUUACAUCUUCAAGUUCUUUGUGGAUAAGAGCAAAUUGGGCAGCUUGCUGUUGCUGAUAUAAGAAUAAUUUACUUUUUUACUUGGUGAAAACAAAAAUUUCAUUAGGAAAUAUAAUCAGAAUGUCUUGGGGAUAGAUUAUCAAGUACAUUGAAUUCUUUAAAAAAAAUUUUUUUUAAUGUUUGUUUAUUUUUGAGAGAGAGAUAGAGAGAGAGCGAGCACGACCAGGGAAGGAGCAGAGAGAGAGAGAGAGAGGGAGACACAGAAUCUGAAACAGGCUCCAGGCUCUGAGCUGUCAGCACAGAGCCCGACGUGGGGCUCAAACUCAAAACCGUGAGAUCAUGACCUGAGCCGAAGCUAUAGACCAACUGAGCCACCCAGGCAUCUCACAAGUACAUUGAGUUCUAAUGCAGUGUAGUAGUUGUACCAUUUGGUUUCUUUCUGCAGUUAGUGGUUAUAGUAGGUAUUUCAAAGGUGUCUUAGAAAAAGACUAUUGAUCCAUAAACAUUAUGUAUGUCUCUGUAGGGGUAUGUGCGUGCGUGUGUGUGUGUGUGUGUGUGUGUGUAGAUAAUAGAUAAUCUAGAUCGAUUAUAUAUCUAUCUAUAUACAGUAAUAUGAUGUGUAGAACAUUGUAAUUUACUGGAUGAUAGUGUGUAAGUGACUAAGUUAUGGAUCCUUAAUGUAAUUUAUAUUUUAUUGAGGUGAGUCAUGUAAAUGAUGUCUGCACCAGGUCAGCUAACAAGCUUGAUUAAAACCAAAGCCCAGAAGGUAGUUUGACUAGUGCUGUUUAGACUCCUUAGGAGCAAAGUGCUCAAAUGACGUUCCUUAUUGGAACUUUGCUGGGGCAGUUUCUUUGCAGUUUUCAUGAAUCUCUAUUAGCAACUUACUAAAAAAGCAUUUUGUCUAGGCUGUUUCAUAAAUAGGAAAUUCCAAAGUACUGAACAGUAUUGCAUUUUUGCUUCCAAUAAGGAUGAUUGCAGUGGGAAAAAGUUUAAAAAACUCUUAUUUUAACGGUUUAUGGCAAAAUACUUCUAUUUUAAAAUGGAUAGAUUUAAAAAAAAUUUGUUUUAAUACUAAUUUGUUUCAUUUAUGAUUUUUCAAGUUUUUUUUCCUAGUUUAUAAGUUUAGAUGUGUUAGAAAAAAAUUGGUGAUACAAGAGCCAGUGAUUAUGAGUUUAUUAAAACUUCAGUGUAUAUAUUAAGCCUGAAUUUGUCUUAGUAGCUCAUAGUUUAGCUUGGUUUUUGGUUUUUGGUAAAUCCUGAGACUUCUGAGUUCUUGUGCUCCUCUGUGAAAUUUGUUUUUUGACAUAUAAAGGUAUGGUUUGUAUUUUUUUAAACGGGUGUGUGUGUGUGUGUGUGUGUGUGUGUGUGUGUGUGUGUGUGUUUGUGUGUUGGGGUCUUAGGAAGGAAUGGUGGUAGUGGUGAGCCAAGCUGUGGUGGCUUAAAGUCAGAAAAGCACAACAAUUUCAAGUAGCCAUGUUCAAAUAUACAAUAUUUAUUUCAAGAAUUUAUAUUUCUUUGGGUUGCACAUUUAUGUUGUCAUAUAAAAACUUAUUUUUUACUUAACUUUCCCUCUCCCCUAGUUCUUCCUGUUAAAAAUACUAACAAUUCAGAAGGUAAUCUAUGAAAGUUCAGUGUAUAUUGGUAGUCUGUAUUAUGAUAGUUUUAUGGAUGUAUUUUGUAUUGCAUCUUUAAAAGGCUAGUUUAAAGAAAUUUACUUCCUUGAGUUGCUCUUUCCCUCUUUGAUCCUUAACAAUUGUGGAUCAACUAUUUUUCUCUUUUUAGUUUUGCCUUUUUAAUCAUUUAGAAUAGAGCUUUGAUUCUCUUUCAAGAAGCCUUAUUUAACAAAUCUAGAAAAUUCUAUUGUGUCUUGAUUCUUAAGAAGCCUUACAUAAGAAAUCUAGAACUGUCUUGCUGUUUUUUAAAAAGAUAUAGUAAAUGGGGUACAUUUAAAUAAUCUGGUUUUCUUCCACUGAGAGUAGGUUGACCUUCUGAAAAUCUACAAGAGGUUGUUGUGGGGCCUGACACUGGCCUGAUUCAUGACCUUUUCCAAGCUUGAGAACACAACUGUGGAACUCAUCCUUAAUGUAAAUAUUGGAGGAAAUGAGAGAUGACUUAUGAGAAAUCAGAAAAUCUAAUCCUUUGUAGGAUUGCAGAUUUCUGUGUCUUUGAUAGAGGGAGCAACAGUUGGCUAUCGAAUGACUGAAAAUAUGAAGUGCCAACAAACAAAUGUAAAAAUAUUCUGCCGUGCACAGUUACAGAGUCAUUUUGAGUUGCCCAUUGUUUAUUUUUAGUCUUUUUCUUUGGGACGAGAAUCCCAGAGUAUUUAAAUACAAAGUCCCUUUUUGGUGUGAAAGAUGUAUCUGCUAGAUGGAAAAAAAAAGGUACUAGGAAAUUUAAAUUCAGGAGAGCCAACUAGUAAUAGUGCUCAUGCAGUGUACUUAGUAGACAUUGAAAUGUUGCUUGAAUGAAAUAAGCUUAGAUUUUAUGCCAGUCUUUGUGAUUGCCUCUAUGAAAUUCUCUUAGGUGAAAAAAAAAACCAAAACAAUCAAACUCCAUUACCCAACGUGACCCCAGUGCACCUCUUUUUGCCUAUGAGUCCUGUCCCCAUGCUUUAAUAAAAUCACCUUUUUGCACCAAAACAAAACAAAACAAAACAAACAAACAAAAAAAAACCCCUCCAAGUUCUAAUUUCUGUUUGCUUUUCUGAAUCUGAAUUGCUGUAACUUAAUCUCUUAAGAGGCAUUUUGAAUAGGAAUAUUACCACAAGAUAGAUAGUUUAAUUUUUAGGACUGGGCUUAUUAUUAUCAGCUUAUUUCUACAGAGAGAAAUAACCUCACAGAUGUAAGGUUUCUUUCUUCAGUUUUCUUAUUUGAGGGGACUUUUUCUUUAAGCUUGUUAACUUGUUAAUAACAUUGGCCAAAAAGCUGUUCUAAAAGCAGUUUAUUUGAUGAUUCCAGUCCUAAACAGAAAAUAAUUUGAGCAUUCCUGUAUAGAGCAGUACUUUUGAGUUACCCAAGAAAAUAACUUUCAAUUACAAAUGCCUUUGAGGGAUUAAGAGAUUGCUUUUUCCUUUUAUUUGCUAUUUCAUUUUUUAAAGAAACUGGCAAAAAUAAAUUUAAUUAGUUUUUUUUUUUUUUACUUUUUUUCCAGAUAACUUGCAAAGCACAUGUGACUUCAGAACAUCCCACAAAGUCUGACAUAUUGUGAAAAUACAUUGGCUAAUUGAUAGGAAUGGUUUAUUAAUAAACUGGUCUACAAAAUGCUGAUGACUUUCUCUUGAGGUAGAAUUUGCUUCAGACUCAGUUUUGCCUAAAAUGGGAUAACCAAGCAGUUUUCUGAAUAAUAAUUUGCUAAUGAACAUGUACUCCAAAUGCUUGGCUCACGAGAGGGGGAUGGGUUGUCCAGAUAUUGGGUGACCAUGUGUUUCCAUUUGUCCAGUCCACUGAAUCUUAGUUUAUGCCUCAUUUCCUGGCAUAAUUAUCAACAGUCCCCUCUUUCACUCUUGUAAGUGUUCCAGUUCAAAUUAUAAAAUAUACACUUACUGUAGUUGUAUAAAUACCUCGUUGUUCACAAAGGAUGGAGCAAUUAAGAAAUCAUUUUAAAAUUAUACUCUAUGUGAUUGCACAUGCACAUUCCAGUAUGUGUAGAGGGAGAGGGAGAAAGGAAGGGAGGGAAGUUGUUUGAGGAGUUGUUUGGGACCAGAAGGAAACCUUUUUGCUAUCCCUGGUCUUCUUAAUCAAUGACUCCACUCAGUCUCUUUCAGAUAGGAAAUAUUUGAUUUCUGUCUGGGUUUUUAGUCAUCUCAAAAGGAAACAAUUAAGAGAUUUUCGAACUCUUGGUUUGAUGUGUCUCGCCUUCACUGCCCCCCACUGUUUUUUUCAAUUUAGAGAUAUGUUAAUUUUCCUAUCCUUAUUUGAUGUCAUAGUAUUUUAGCAUGUUUAUAUUAAUGAUACAGUUCUAUUUGCACAUUUUCUUACCUUAGAUUGAUGUUCAGAGGUACUCUCAUUUUAGGUACAGGCAGUUGACCACUUCUGUGACUGUGUCAUUUGCUUAUCACAUGACCAUGAGCUUAGAGGGGAUGCCUAACUCAUCAGGAGACAAGAGUCCUCUGCUGGCUCUUGUCUUAACUACCUGUGUACCCUUAGGCAGAUCACUUACUGGCUCUGGGCUUCCUUGAAUCCUUACAAAAUGUGAAUAAUUAUACCUCUGUCACCUCUAUCGUGAGGCUGUUUAGAGACCCACAUGGAAAUGAAUACAUGAAAGUACUUGAAUUCUGAAUAGUUACACAGGAGGAAAAUACAUUGUUAUGCAGUGUUCCCAUUUUACCUAAUUUUCUCCAUUAUUUACCUAAUUUCUCCAAUUUACCUAAUUUUCUCCAUUAUUAUUUUCUUCUGGUUUUUUCUAUUUCCCGAAAACCCUGCAAUAAUCAUGUAUUGAUUUUGUAAUCAGAUAGGGGAAACAUUGUUUCAAAAAUUGCUUCAUUAACCAUUAAAACAUGAAGUUUUGCUAUCUGCAGAUUAAUCUCUAUUAAUAUUUUAUUAUGAUUGCAAAUGUUGCUUGAUCUAGUGCACGUAAACAGAAUAUAUGUUGGUCAACAAAGUAUGCCUUGACCUUGAUGUCAUACGCCUCUUUUGUUUUUGACCCGAUUGAUGAAUUCUGUCUUUACAUGGAACUCUAGAAUAAUUUCUUGGAAAUGGGAAGAGGAAUGUCUAAUAUCAAUUCAGUGAUAUUCAUGAGUAGAAUGGACAGUUUAUGGAUUAGCCUAGUGACUUGGGGUUUAGUUUCAAUGCUUCCCUGAAUAUUUACCAUAGGCAAGUGGAGAAUGGAAGAAGAUACAAAGCAUUCCAUUUCAGAUAUGCUUCUGAAUUUCUCAGGUCAUAUGACUAUGUACUGAGAUCUACCUUUCCUUCUUUUGGCAACUGGAAUCAAUAAAAAGAGUUGAUUACCCUUUUUUUCCUGAUUUAAACAUUUACAAAUCAAGUGUUGAGAAAAAUAGUUUCAAGUGAAAAUUUAAGAGCUUACUAUGAACUGACAUUUUGGGUGUUUUUUUUCCCCUCCUCAAUUCUAUUUUUAAGUAUCUCAUAAGUCUUGCCCUUGAAAGCUCUGCUGAUGUGACCUAUUUACCCCACUUUCUUUCUAGCUGUUCAGUGAACUUAAUGGCCUUUCUGCACUUCUAAUAUGUUCCACAGAGAUUUUUUAUUUCAAAGAAUAUUCUUGCUUUCUUUGUGUAUAUGCACAUGUGUAAGAGUGGACUUCAUGUGUUUCUAAGAGUAUUAGAAUCAGCUUAAACUUUGGACAGGCAAGCAUCAGCUCUUAACAAUCUGUAUUGCAGCCAGAAUGAUGUUGCCCAUUUGCUCCGUGUGUGGCCUCCCUUUGUGCAGAGGACUUAAGGUCGUUUGAGGGUGUGCAAGGCUUACCAUAAUCUGGCCUGUACUCUCAUCUGCCUCUUGCACAUUUUCUCCCUUGCCCUUCUAUUGCCUCCAAGCUGCCCUGCUAGCUGCCUUUGCCCAUGUUCUUUUUUCUGCUUGGAAUGCUCUUUUUGCCUGGUUCGUGCCUUAAUUGUCAUCUUGGCUUAGAGAAAUCUGGCAAAGGUUUCUCUGCUUUGUAACCAUAAUCACAAUUUCCCGUGUGAUUUUUUUUUUUAUUGUCUCCCCCAUUAGAUUGUAUGUGUGUGUCUGUAUGUAUGUGUACGUACUUUUGUAUCCAUAGUUCUUAGACAACCCUUUGCACGUACUCCACUCUCAGAAGUUUGUUGAAUAAAUGGAUGAAGGAAGUAAUAUUUUACUUUGAAAAUAUUUUCCUAACUCUCCAGGAAGAGGCACUGCUUUAACGCAGUGGUUCCAUCUACCUUCCAUCCCACACCUAUGCCACAAAGAAUGUGUUAGUUUGAAAAACAGCCCAGUUGUGUGUUUGUGGCUGCUUUGGGCCACUCCCAGAUUCCCCAGAGGUACAUUUUCAUGCGUCUCUGCUAUUACAGGGACUUUUCUUAGAAAAGUUUGAGAAGCUCCUUUAUCAGGGUCACUUGUGCUGGUAUGUGGGUUCAUAUGACUGAGAAAUUUACUUUGUCAUGUAGCACCUGGGAAAAUCCAAACGGCCAAAGGUUUUGAGUAGAUGGUAGGGCAUGCGGUUAGAGCAGGAGAUUCUCUUGCCCACGUGUGGGUCACUUCUUGUUUCCUUUUUUUGUCAGUUCUCUUGAACGGGCAGUUGUGUUUCAUCUUGAUGGGCAGGGCACUGGCUCUGGAGAGAGCUCAUGUGCAGGGUCACUGUGGGCCACAUAGCAGGUCUGCAUGCAGCAUUUUUUUUUUUUCUGUUUAUUAUUCUGUGCAUUCUUGCUUGUGCUUGAACCUCUGUUUUUUCCAGUCUAUUUUUUUGGUCAUGUUAAUCUUGGAAUCUUCAUGUUAGUUCAACUCAAAAGGAAUAGGCUGGAAUGAUGCAUCGAAGACCUAUCAAUUGCAUAUCUACUGCAUAAAGGUAUUUUUGUCCCAUUAAAGUGAUCUUGGACAAACUUGAACUUUUUUCAUCACCUUGUUUGGCAUGGUGGAGGGGGUCAACUCUAAUUUGAAACCUGUAUUCGUUCACUCCUCUAUGUAGUUGCAGCAUCAGAACAUCUACCACUUUUUCGGUACUGGUUUUAGUGCUCUGCAGGCAUGAUCUCCAGCUGUCAUAACAACUUUGAGAAGAACGUAUUCGCUUCAUUCGUGACUGUGGAAACUGAGAUAUGAGAUGCUAAGUCACAUGUCCAGGAGCCCUCAGCCAGUCUGUGCCAGACCAGGACACUCAGGCCUCCUACUUCUCAAGUGGGGUCUUUUCACUGUACUACCUUCUUUUCAUGUGUUGCUGCAGGCAGCUUGUCUUCCUGUAUGUGCACCAAAGAAGCCAUUGAGAGACCUUCUUGGUCUGUGACACCAUGCAAAAUUGGCUCCCUGACCUUUGAACGAUGGUCCAUGAUUUCUGGGAUCUGCUACAUUUUAUUUUUUAGGUUUUGAUAGUAGUAAUGGGUAUAUGACCCAUAGUAUCUAAUUGCUUCUUGGAGCUGGUACUAAACUCCGUUGCAUAUGACUUUUUUCUUUGUGAGCUUUUUAAAAGAGAGUUUCAUUCACAGCAUUUGAUGAUAUUAAUAAUUUGGCUUGAAACAGUUAUGUUUUCUCUUUCUUCGGUUCCUUGGUUUUAGUGGGAGACCUGGGUGCAAUGUAUGUAGGGAGAUACUUGAAAGAGAAGGAGGUAUAACAGAAGCUGUGUGAGGCUGCUGUGGUGCAACCAGCACUGUUAUGUGAAGGCAGCUCCGGGUGCUGGUGGGUUGUGUUAAUAGCCCUACUGAUGGAGAGAUUUAGCAGUUUGCUGAAGUGCUGUGAACAGUCUUUUCUUACUAAUAAAUUCUAGUCUCACUCUUAGAGCAGGCAUUAAAACUUCCUUUUCCUCUUUUGUUUGGAGGGAACUCUCCUCUGUUGCAGGCUAAGAAAGGCUAGAUGUGUCCUUCCAGGCAACGUACAGGGUCUUUCCCUUUUCCCUAUUCUCUCCUGUGUGUACCAUGAGAUUCUAUAAAGGGGCAUUUAUAGAGGCCAUUGAAUCCACUAGUCUGAGAUGCCAAGACCUUUAUUUUUCACUUGGGAGUAGGCAGUGUAAAGGUGCACAACCUGACUGGCUAAUGUAAGAUAAUAGUCAGGACUCUAUCCUUCCUUAGAAGACCUGGGUUGUUAGAGUUGUCUUCUUGUGACCUCAUUCCUGCAGCCACUGUACCUUCUCCUCAAAGUAGUGAACUCUGCAUAUGGCUUCAACUUUUAUUCUAUAGCUGGGCCUUUCUGCAGCAACUGCAGCUUACUAUGUAGAUGUGUCUCCAGUUAAAAGCUUAGUAAGUCUAUAUAACUUGUCAUAAUUUUAGCACUUUACCUUAUUAAGGUAUAUGUUUUCAUUAUCUGAUUUACAAAAGUACCAUAUAAAAACCUACCUAUGCUAUAUAAUUGCUGAAACACUGAGUAAGCUCUGCUUUUUAUGACCAAGUUAUGGGAUGAGUAAUUACUCUCUAGAGUGAAUGGUUCAAAAUGAAAUAACUAUAUGCCUAAGGUGUGAUGUGACACCAGAUGUAUUUAAGCCCCAAAGGUGUGUAAUUAUCUCACUACUCUUGCACAUACACACAAGUACAUUUAUGCUUAUGGUAAGUUUUAUGUGCAAAAGAAAACUCACUUCUGAAAAGUGAAGGAACAGAACAGUCCGUUAUUGAGAGGCUCAGAGGUUGUUUAGUGUUAGAAGUACUGUUUUAGUCCCUCCUGACAAAAUCCUACCUCACUGGAUUCUACAGGAAACCAGCAUCAAAUUGUGGAUUUCAAGUGUUAAGGCUAAUGUACAGAUUUUCUCAAAGCACCAUGUUUAUAAUUUAUAGUCUGCUGCCGUGUACUCAGUGACUUGUUAAAUAUUCCAUUGUUGGACUCUAUUUUGAUCAUCAGGUGUGUUAAUUAAAAGCAUUAAAAUGAUGUACUCUGGUUUCUUACUGAAAAUAAAAACUUACAGUCUCCUUAAAUUUUUAAUUUUGCAUAUAGGUUAUCUGUCUAAUCUCUUUCUAUAGAUCCUGAAUAAUUAAACAUAGUACCUCAAGCUGAUUUUUCCUCUCUAGUUUUAAUUCAGUGUUAAAAUGCUGUUUGAAUCACAUUAAAAAUAUAUUUUAUCACAAUUCUACCAGUCCCAUUGUGUUAACUGUGCUCCUAUCUAAUGGUAUAAAGUGAUCAGGUUACAUCAGUUUCCGCCAGCAAAUGACCAGACACUGUAUUUUGGGGAUUUGGUUGGUAGUUAUGACUUAGCUCCCUGUUAAGCCUAGGAGAUGAAAAUUUCCUUAGCGUGGAGACCAGUGCAGGCCCAUAGUGGCUGCUAGGUCUUCCCUUGAGCCAGAGAAAGGCGAAUUGAGAUGCUGCUGGCUUUGGGACUCACAAGUAAAAUAGCAGUUGAUGGUAGCUUACCUUACCUGUUUACAGUGUGAUUCUCUUGGGAAGUUUUUUUUUUUUUUUUUUUUUUUUUUUUAAAUACAGUAUUUAAAAACUAUUUCUGUUUCGCGGGAGGCAAAUGUUUGCUUAGUUUUGAAACAACAAUACAAAACAUUUACAGCUUUAAAUUCUUAAAAAUGCAAUUUACAGGUAACUUGUGAACAAUAAAAUUCAUAUGCUAUGCUAACAUCAGUAUGUUGGGACACAACCACUGUAUCAAGCAUCAGUCUAUUCAGUGAAGAGAAGUGAAUUUCACUUUGUUUAUAUGUGUGUCCUCUGAUGGGGUAGCUGCUAGCCACAUGUGUGACUACAUUUGGAAUGCACGGAGGUGUGCUGAAAGUGUGUGAGGCAGGCACCAGAUUUUGAAGGCAGCACAGUUAAAGGAAGCAUGUGAAAUAUAUUGUCAGUAAUUUGUUGAAAUGGUGAUCUUUUGGGUAUUUGAGUUCAAUAAUGUAUAUUAAUUUCAUCUGUUUGUUUUUACCUUUUUUAGUGUGGCUACUAGAAAACUCAAAAUUACAUGUGCAGCUCACAUUUUUCUUUUAGUGCUGGUUUCUGGACCCUGUGGUCUCAUAAGAAGUUCUUUCUGCUUAGGUAUACAUUUUAGCUGUGAUUUGGUUAUAUAAUUUGAUUAUAACUUUUUGCCAACCAUAAAUUUGAGUACCUUGUAGUGAUUCUUAAACCAUGGUUCCAAGACACUGUUCUUAAAUUGCUCUUUGUGGAUUAUUUAGGACUGUUUUUCAGUCUUAAGUUUCUAAGGUAGAAGAACCAUCUGCCAAUUGAUUAUUUUGUAGAUUUGAAACUUCAUUGGCUAAGUUAUUUCCAAUAAUUUAAGAAUCUAAAUCCAUUUUAUCUUCUUAGAGGAGCUCAGUGGAUUGGUUAUGAUAUUUAAAAUUGAGAUUUUAUUUCUAGGUAAGGUAUACAUUGAGAGCUAAAAUUAUAUUUACUUUCAAAAAUAGUUCCUUAGAAACUUACAGGCCUUGGGGUGCCUGGGUGGCUCAGUUGGUUAAGCAUCCAACUUUGUCUCGGUCAUGAUACCGCGGUCCAUGAGUGUGAGCCCCAUGUGGGGCUCUGUGCUGACAGCUCAGAGUCUGGAGGCUUCAGAUUGUGUGUGUGUGUCUCUCUCUGCUCCUCUCCCGUUCACUCUCUGUCUCUCUCAAAAAUAAAUAAACAUAAAAAUUAUUAAAAAAACCUAUUGGCUAUAAAAAAUUUAUAAAUAAGAAACCUGUUGGCUUUGUAAUAAUGUAAGGAAACUGCCUUAAAAGGUUUGAUUUUGCAUAUGAAGACAGAAGGAUGGGGUUUCCUUGCGUUUCAGAGUGUUUUUUGGAUUUUAUUGUCUACUGAAAAAAAAAAAAAGGGAGGGGGGACAGACCAACAUAAGAUGGCCAGUUCUUUGUUUUGUAGUUUUCAUAGUGUGGUCCCUGGUUUAGUAGCAUCAGCAUCAACUGGAAAUUUCUUGGAAAUGCACAUUCUUCUCUUUCACUCCAGAUGCACAGACUGGGAAACGCUGGAGGUGGGGACCAGAAUCUGGAUUUUGAUAUGCCCUCCAGGAAUGCUUCCCAUAGACUGAACCCGGAGAAAAGCCAGGUGACCUGGGAGCCUGAGAAAUGAUGUCUGCAGUGAUCAACUUUCCUGAGCUAAGGAACUCUCAAAGUAUGUAUCUGUAGGAAUAGGCCUAGGACUGGCACGUUUAGUAUUUAUACUUCAAAACAAAACAAUAUUUUGAUAUAAUUAAAAAAAUUUUUUUUUUGAGAGAGAGGGGAGGGUGCAAGUGAGUGAGGGGACAGAGAGAGAUGGAGAGAGAGAAAAUCCCACGAGGUGGGGGGUGGGGAGAGAGAGAGAGAUUGGGGGAGAGAGAGAGAGAGAGAGAGAGAGAGAGAGAGAGAGAGAGAGAAGCAGGGCUCACCUGAAGCAGGGCUGGUGCUCACCCGAUGUGGGACUUGAACUCAUCAACUGUGAGAUCAUGACCUGAGCCGAAGUCAGAUGCUUAAUUGAGUCACCCCUGUGCCAAUAAUUAAAAAAUUUUAAGGCAUUUUAAUACCAAAAAAUAAUCUCACAAUAGAGGACAUCUUCUUAAUUGGGAUAAAUUUGGCUUUAUUUUUUUAUUUUUAUUUUUAAAAAAUUUUUAAUGUUUACUUUCGAGAGAGAGAGAAUGUGAGUGGGGGAGGAGCAGAGAAAGGAAGACACAGAAUCCAAAGCAGGCUCCAGGCUCCAGGCUCCGGGCUGUCAGCACAGAGCCUGAUGUGGGGCUCGAACUCAUGAACUGUGAGAUCAUGACCUGAGCCUAAGUUGGACACUUAACCAACUGAGCCACCCAGGCACCCCUAAAUUUAGCUUUAUGAACACACACAUAUCCUUUUAUAAUUUUAUUGAUGGCCAGGGAAGUGUUUUCAGGGAUCAGCAUCUGUAAGUGUGGGAAACAUUGCCAUAUACCUUUGAAAGACUUAUUUUGCCCCUACUCUAGAACUUACUUUAAUCCUCUUCUUAUUUGAAGGGCUACAAAGCUGUCCUUGAUUGUUAGCACUGUUGUGUGGCAAAUGUGGGAAAUUUGUUUCAUCAGUUUCUCUGCCAGCUGUCCUGGAAUAUCCUGGAUGUUUUUCUUUUCAUAUUUCCCUUUUUCAUUUGUUUCUUAGAGUGUAGUUCUUCCUUUGUGUUAUGUCCUCUUUGCCUGCAGUAUUUACAUUUCUCCCCUUGAAUUUUCCAGCCUUCUCUCUUCUCCCUGUUUCUUUUGCUGUUUCAGCUUUGAUUAAACUGUAGUUGAUAGGAAAAGGGUAAUUACAGUGAUAGGCCUAUAACAAGGAAAAUGCAAGUUUCAGAUUUUCAAAGUAAAGUUAGAAAUUGUGUCUUGAACCUUUUAAGCCCUUGAAAGGAUCCUGAAGAUGCCCUCAGAAUCCAUGCAGAAAGUCAUGCAUUUCCUUAUCCUUCUAAAUGAAUGUGUUUUUUCUUCCCAGACAGCGGUAUUUAACUAAUAUUUGAAACAGUAUUGUUUUAUACUGUUUAUAACAAAUGGAAGCUAAGAAGCUAACCACAGUUUCCCUCCUUGAGGGGAACUGUGUUCUGAAUUCCAAUAGACUGUUUUAGAUAGAAUCCAAUUAUGUGUUUAAUGGUCCAAAAUCCAAUCUAAUAUUUCUGAAUGCAAAUGAGUCUAGAAUAUCUGUUUUUCUUAUAUUUGAAAGAUCUGUGCUUUUUCUUCACUGACUUUCUUAUAUACACAUUUCGUAAGUUAAGAAAAAAAGUUGUAGGUUAAGUAAGGAAUGGGUAUAGUUUUCAUUUAACUUCUGAGUUUUUUAAAAUUUUUUAAAUGUUUAUUCAUUUUUGAGAAAGAGAGAGAGCGGGCGGGGAAAGGGCAGAGAGAGAGGGAGACACAGAGAGAGAGAGAGAGAGAGAGCGGGCGGGGAAGGGGCAGAGAGAGAGGGAGACACAGAAUCCGAAGCAGGCUCCAAGCUCUGAGCUGUCAGCACAGAGCCUGACAUGGGGCUUGAACUCAUGAAGUUGGACGCUUAACCCACUGAGCCACCCAGGCCCCCUUAACUUCUAAGUUUUUAUAAUAGCGAAUGCUUCCAAUUAAGGCAUUGAAAUGGGGGAGUUAUAUUUCAUGAGGUCUGGUGGAAGACCAGAGCUGUUUUGUGUGAAAGGUGCUGAGUGGGAUGCUUCUGGAGCAGUACUUCCAAUCUCUUUUACUUCAGAACACACUGAAAGUAAUACUUUGUACAGGACAUGGGGAUAGGAGGUUUUAAACUACAGACAAGCUGCCACUGGACUGGUAGCCCCAGAUGGCUGCCCCAAGAGGUGAGAUAUCAGUAUCUUAAAACUUUCAGCUCUCAUAUUGGGAAGUUCUGCUCUAUAGAGGGCAUUCAGGAGGUCCUAGUCUUGUGAAGAGCUCAAUAUUUACAAGUUAUAACGCAAACAUAUAGUGUUAAGUUAUGAUAGUAUUAUUUGGUGAAAUAGUAAGAAUGGAGGUUAGAUCUGUUUGAGGUGGAAAGGAUCUAGUAAAGGUUCUGUAGAGGGGGUGGUGCAUGGAAGGAAUUAUCUUGUGCAAAGGUAGAGUGGGAGCAAAGGGCAGAGGGAACUUGGGGUCUGCCAAGGAUUUCUGAUGUGGUUGGAGGGUAAGAUUUGGGGAUGCAAAUAGGAAGCAGGAUAGUGGGAAUUACUGUUAAGAAAGUAGGCUGCGGUUGGCUUCAGGAGGGCCUUUAUGAGAUUGAAUGAGCUCAUGACUUUGGGCAACACUGGUGGUGACACUUCCCCUAUUCCUUUUAGGAAAAUCCUUCUGGGGCAGUGUAGAGUGAACUGAAGCCUGCAAGCUGAUACAUCCCUCGGGAGGGAAAGACAUUGAUCCAGGCUAGAUGAGGGAUAAUAAAGGCUUGCACUUUAUUAUUGGCGAAUAGAGGUUGAAAGUGCUUCUUGAAGUGGGAACCCCAAAUUCUGCUUAUUGAUAAGGAGAAAGGUGACUCACAUUUGGAGUCUGGUUGAAGGAAAGGAUGACUCAAGACUAUUUUCAGAAUUAGAGUCUUGUAUAGGCGACAAGGAACUUGAUUUUGGACAUGGGGAUUUUAAGAUGCUUGCAGAGAAGUAAGUGUUAACGUUUAUAAAAUGCUAGGUUCUGAUCUAAGCACAUUUUAAAACUCCUUCUAUUCUCAUAAUAGCCAUAAAAAAGUACGUGUUAUCAGUUAGUGUCCAGUCAGGAAAAUAAAGCGCACGGAAUGUUUUAAGCACCGAAGGGUUUAAUGCAGGAAAUUGGUUACAGUGGUAUUGGAAGAGCUGGAGGAACAAAAAGAAAAAGGUGUGUGUUGGAGCAAAAAGGAGAAGGGAACAAAGAGGAGGAGAAAGGAGAGGAGGAGAGAGUAAGUGCGUGCGUGCGUGUGUGUGUGUGUGUGUGUGUGUGUGUAGAUGAAUGUUGGAGGAACAAAAAGGAGAAGGAAAUGUUAAUCAGUUGUCAGCUGCUGCAUAAACUGUAUGCUCUACAGAUUUGCUGGAGAUCUUCAUUGGUUCUGCUGCUUUGGAACCCCCACAGAUGCUGCUGGAGCCUCUGGCUGUCUGUGGCUGCUUGUGGAGGUACCACCAGGAACAGGAAACAAAGACAUUUUUCUUGCUCUCACCUUGGAAUCUCCUGCCACCAUAUCCAAGAGGAAGGUAGUUGGUAAAGGGAGUUUGGAAAAUACAGUUUAUAGAUUUCCAGCUCCUAUGUAAUAAUAGAGAAGAGAAGAGAACCAACAGAAAAAUAACCAGCACAGUGGGUACUGUUUUUAUCCUUAUAUUACAGGUGUGGAGACCAAGUCAUGGGAGAAGGUCACACAGAUACAGCUUGGCAGAGUUGAGAUGUGGAUGUAGGUAGUCUGGUUUCAGAGUGUGUGCUCUUAGCCUCUGCACUUUGAUCUUGCCUCCACACAUGGUUAUUAUUUGCUUUUUCUCCUUAUUGCUGAGCACUUCAAAUGAGCAGCUGUUUCCAUUGAUUUUGCUUAUCCUGCACUUACUUUUCUUUGAUAUCUCUUACUGGCAACAGUUUUUCACCUCAACCUCUGGAACCUGUCUUCUGGUCCCUAUUGAUUUUAUAGCUAAUAUAAUGGGUUAUUUCAGUUUCUAUUUGUCUUUAAUCUAUUUCUGACUUUUGAUACGGAUGGAUACCUAUUUAUAUGGGAUUCCAACCUUGAUUUCUAUGAUGCUGACUUGCUUUAUUUUCCCCUUAUCUCACUGAGGCUCUUUGGUUUUUUUCUUUUUCUUCCCAUUCCUUAAACCAUUGCCAUAUCUUGCCUUGAGUUUGGAUUUUAGUGUAUUAUAAGAAGCUGCUUAAUGUUAAUUUUAUAUUUAAAUCAGGACCAAUAAAAUCUUCAUGUAUACAGUUCUUAUGACCUUUUUCCUUUGUGUGUUAUGAAGUCAGACAAGUCAGAGCAGGGUUUCAAUUUGUGUUCUGCCCUGGGCAAGGAGGAAGAGAGUAGGAUGACUGAAGGAGACAGUCUCACUCUGAGUAUCUACUAUGUACCAGCACUGUGCUAAGUGCUUCAAAUGUGUUGCUUCAUUUAAGUUCUCCUGUGUGAGAUUGCUUGUUUGUUACCCUUAUUUACAGAUGAAGAAACUAACUCUUUGUGAUGAACCAGUAAUAGAACUGGGGUUGAAACCCUCAUCUGAUUUGCUCUGACAGCCAGAUUCUUUCCUCUGGACCACCUGGGAGAAGCUCCCACUUUCUUAUCUGUUAAGUGAAGAAACUGGGCAAGAUCAGUUUUAAGGCCCAUUUCAGUAUCAUCGUUCUGAUUUUGUCACAAACUAGUGUCGCAAGCAGUAGUUGCUUCUCGUAUUGAAAGAGGAAGUUGCCUUCCCACUCCACGAAACAUCCUGUUUUAUUAAGAUCAAGAGUACUAAUGUGUUAUUUGUAAAAGUUAUGAAGUAGGGCACAGGCAUUUAAAGUAGUCAUGAUGAUAGAUCUUCAUGUAAGUUGCAAGAGAGCCCCAUUACCUCCAAAUGAGGCUGCUGCCUAGAACAUUAGAGGCUGUGGCUUUUAUUGACAGGUGCUCAGAAUAAUAGCUUUGGAACAACUCCAGUCUAAACAAAAGGGCAAUCCAGUUAUUCCAUUAUACUUUAUGCUGAAAGCAUGUGCUUCCAGAUUAAGAAUCCCUUUCUUUGGAUGGAAUUUAGUGUGAGAUUUGCAAGAAGAUAGUGCAAAAUACAUUUUAAAGAUAAGGUUCACUGUAAUAUGGUUUGAUUUCUUUAUAAAGCCAGUGGACAACCCUAAAAUGGUUAACUGUCAUGUGAUUCAUCCAUGUCUUGCCAUCAGACAUGCAGAUAGAUGGUUUAAGUGGAUACCAACAUCCUCUCUUGAUAUAAAAGACCCAUUAUAAAAUACUCAUCUAAGUAUUCCUACACACACACACACACACACACACACACACACACACACACCAUUAGGAUAAGUGCGUUUUGGAGCACCUGGGUGACUCAUUCUGUUAAGCGUCUGACUAUUGAUUUCAGCUCAGGUCAUGCCUGAUCUCAUGGUUUGUGAGUUCGACCCCUGUGUCAAACCACGCUUCGGGCCCACACUGACAAUGCAGAGCCUGCUUGUGAUUCUCUCUCUCUUCUCUCUGUCUGUGCCUCCCUAUCUUCCUCCCUCUUCCUCUCUCUCAAAAUAAAUAAAUAAGCUGAAAAAAAAAUAGAGUGUUUCCAGAUUCCGUAGAAUUUAUCUUCUUUACUCAUAAACAUCCUCCAGCCCUCCCUCAUUCAUGUUUUAUUUUGUAAAAAUGGGAAAUUGAAAGGUUUAUACCUCUGUUUUUAACUUUUAGUUUUAUUGACUUUGCCUGCUUUAGAGGAAGCCUGCAGGGGAAUCUCGGCUCCCUGGCCACUCCUUCCUUUGGUUUAGGUGGUUGGUUCUUCCUUUAGCAAACCUCUAACUAUAUGUGUCCCCGGCACCUGAGGCUGGGCUAUUUUCUCCUACGUAGGUGAUACCAAUCACCCCCAAAUUCUUCUAUGCUACCAAGUGAUGAUUACUACCCAAUUUUGGUUUCCAGGUCUGACUGCUCUCCUGGUUGCUUAUUUACUUCUUAAGUCUAUUUAGAUUUGGUGGGAAUUUCAUGCCAUACAUUGGAAUGUAACAUAUUUUAUCGAUUAUAUUAAUGAACUUAACUAUUUUAUUUUUUUAUUAAAAAAUUUUUUUUAAUGUUUAUUUUUGAGACAGAGAGAGACAGAGUGUGAGUGAGGGAGGGGCAGAGAGAGAGGGAGACAUAGAAUCCGUAAGAAACUAUAUCACAGCUGUGCACAAACAUACAUUACUAUAAAUAAUAGGAACCAAAGUUUCACAAAGACAGUAAUUACCUUUAAAAGAUGACAUACUUGAUGUUUUCAAAAGCAUUCAGUUUCAUUUCAUUAAAAGAUGUUCUCUGUGACCCACAUCUACCUCAUUAAUGGUUUGUGACCUACUAUUUGAAAAACACUGUUCUUGAGCCACUAGAUGUGUUAGAGAUACUUCAAGUUGAGGAGAGUCUGUCCACAUAUUUGGGGACCAUAAAUAUUUAGAGUGCAAUACAUCAUUAUGAAAGAAGGCUUGAACAGAUUCCUUGUUUUUCCCUAUUUCAGGAAGCCAAAAGUUUCUUGUACUGCUCUUCUUGGGGUCACUGAUAAUCCAACCACUAGUUGGUUGACCCUCCUAGGAAACUGUAUUUCUGACCUUUCCCUGUAUGAGCAAGAUCUGGAUAAAUGGAAUUACUAAUGGCUUUAAAAAGCUAUGAAAAUGCAACCAAUUAGAAUUCCCAGGUACAAAACAAAUGUCUGGCCCACAUAUAUUAUAUACAUAUAUAUAUUUUUUUUCCUUCAAAUGCUUAAGAGAUUUUGAUAUCCCAGAUCAAUACAUGUUUGUUCCAAGUGAAUCACUGACUUUCAGAUACCUGAGGUAAAUCAUAUUCUGGUUUCAAUUUGUCUCUUUUUCCCCUGAGGUUCAUGAUGAAGAGCUCUGUUUUCUUUAACACCUGCCUACUUGGCAGCUCUGACACUUGCUUGAAAAAAGUUGUUAAAAUGAGGAAGCUUAUUUCCUCUAAUUUGACUGCAUCCUUCUUUCCCCACCCCACAGAGGGCAAUGCACACAGGAAAGGUGUUUGAUCAGAGUCCACUGAGGCGGACCAAGUUGAAAAGAGUUAUUAUAGGCAACAACCCCAGUUUAAAAGGUUAUCCCAUAUAAGAGUGAUCAUGUAAAUUCCUCAAGAGAUUCAGUAUGGAAUCAGAGCUAGCUUUCGGUUCAGAAUUGUUUAUUAGUUAGAAUUGGUAAGGAUACUCUCAGUCACCUACAGACAUGUGGAAAUUGUCGGAUUAUAUACUACCUGGUUUGAAUAUAUCUAUAACAGAACUCGCUAUAAUAAGAUUUUAUAGGUACUUACCUUGCACGCUUCUGCUAAGCUCACAGAAGGUUGACUAAUCCAAUGUUCUCAAAAGCCUCUUCUCUGAUCCAAGAGUGUUUGCAUAUUUUAGACCCAACAUUUAUUCUAAUAAAGCUUCAGGAAAUAGCUUGUAUCAUGCUGAAGAAAUUUACAGUUGGCACAGUGACUUACUGGUUGGUUAGUUGACCUAUAGGGAUUAUGCAGGGAUGGGGGGAGCUCUUAGCUGUGCUACGAUGGACCUAAAAAUACUGUGCUUAAUAAUAUGAACAUUGCAGAAGUUUAAGUCAUUCCUGAGGGAAGUUCAUACAUGUUUAAAGAUUAUUACAAAUACACAGUCUUAUUUAACAUUUUGGUGUUAACUUUAGAAGCCAGGAUUUUUAAAUUGUAAAGCAUCUUUUCCAUCUUUUUGAAUUCAAAAGCACAAUAGCACAUUGUUUAACAACCACCUCUAUAUUUGAAGGGAACCUCAUUUCAAAAUUGCAAGUCAGUGGGGUUUUUUGCAUUUUCAUUUUUUUAAAGUUUAUUUUAUUCAUUCUUAGAGAGAGUGGGUGUGUGUGCACAUGAGUGGGGUAAGGGGAGAGAGAGAGAGAAAGAGAGAAUCCCAGGCAGGCUCCGCAUUGUCAGUGCAGAAGCCUGACCCAGGGCUCGAUCCCAUGAACCAUGAGAUCAUGACCUGAGCUGAAAUCAAGAGCCAGUCACUUAACUGAAUGAGCCACCCAGGCGCCCCUUCAUUUGCGAGUAUUAGUAUUAUGUCAAAGAUCCAAAAAGUAUGUUUCAUUGGCUAAAUCUGACCUGCCACCAGUUUUUAUGUAGCAUGCAGAACGAAGAUUGGGUUUUAUGUUAUUUUAAUAGUUGGAGGAAAAAAAAUCAAAAGAAUAAUGUUUUGUGACAUAUGAAAAUUACAUGAAAUUUAAAAUUCAGGGUUCAUAAAUAAAAUUUGAUUGGAACAUAUUUGUGCUUAUUAUUUUGCAGGUUGUCUUUGCUGCUUUUGUGGUACAAGGGCAGAAUUGAGUAGUUGUGACAGAGAUUUUUAUGGCCUGCAAAACCUAAAAUAGAAAAAGUCGUUUACUGAAAAAGUUUCCUUGUCUCUGGCCUAUACAUUUCCUGGCCUUUUGGAAUGUAACAUAUUUUAUCGAUUAUAUCAAUGAACUUAACUUUUAUUUUUUUAUUAAAAAAAUUUUUUUUAAUGUUUAUUUUUGAGACAGAGAGAGACAGAGUGUGAGUGAGGGAGGGGUGGAGAGAGAAGGAGACAUAGAAUCCAAAGCAGGCUCCAGGCUCUGAGCUGUGAGCACAGAGCCAGACGCAGGGCUCGAACCCAUCGACCACGAGAUCGUGACCUGAGCCGAAGUCAGACACUCAACCAACCGACCGAGCCACCCAGGCGCCCCUGAACUUAACUAUUUUAAAAGAUUCCAUUGUGGAAUGUCAUGUUCAUAAACGUAGGUAAUAACAAGGGUUUGGGGUUAAAAACAGGAAUUUGUUUCUGUGGAAAUAAUUCCUAGACCAGCUUCUUGGGUGGGGAAUGAAUGACUUGCCGAAUUUUGAAAAAUGGCAAAUUUUGAGAAAUGGCAGUUAUAAGGGUAUGACACAGAAAUAUAGCAGUGGUUGAUAUAGUUGCUGUAAUAAAAGUGGAAUAUUUUAAACUUUGUUCACAUUUGACAGCUUCUAUUUUUGAGGUAUCUCAAAUACAUUUUGUAUGAUCACCUCCAUUUCACCCCUCCCUUGUGUGCUUUUAUUUUAAUCCAGCGAAGCCAGCCUCACAGUAAACAGUGUGAUUAUAUUCUCUUCUAACACUUAGUGGUUUUUGGUACUUAAGUUUGUCUAAUGGGCCCAUCACUAAAAGUCAGAGUCAUUUCUCUCUGCUGCCUUGAUAGAGAGCAUGUGGGUUUGCGUGGGGCUGCCUUGCAACACAGCACUGAGUUGUAGUGUGCAGAAAAGCUGUUCUCUUGAUCCACUACACCUGGCAGUCCCCGGGCAGGUGUGUCUAAGAUGAGGAUGUUUUCAAUGUACUUUCGUUCCUCUUCAAUACGGUGCCUCAGACCCCAAGACCUAUCUCUUACUUGUGUUAGGCAUCACCUCUUACCUCCCUUAACCCUUAUAGUGAGCCAGAGGAAGAGGGUUGUUUGUGUUUUUGUGGACUCUUUUGGGCAGUGCAGUGUACUAGCCUGCCUUCCCUCACCAUCUUUGUGUAUCUGAUUUGAUGGAGCCGUAGCAGUGGCCCAUUCUAGUGUGCUCCAGCAAGACCCUGCUUAUCUGUAAGCCUAAAACGUAGGGUAUUUUCUACACUUUUGAAAAAAAAAAAAUAUCACAAGCUGACUAAGCAAAAAAAAAAAAAAAAAAAAAAAAAGCACUCUAAAAAGUCCGGCCCUAUUUUCCUCUUACCUAAUUAGGAGACCCUAAAUCCUCCUUUACAAUCUGUAUUUCUUCUUAAGAGAUCAUUUUAGAAAGUCUGACUGUUUCCCUUUCUAGUUAACAGUGUAUUUGAAGGAGAUGUGGAAGAGGGGAAAGAAGGGUAAGCUCCAUAUAGGCAGGUUAGCAUCCAAGAGUGCCAGCUUGAGAAAGUGAUAGUUUGAGAAAGUAAAACCUUAAAAAAAAAAACAAAAAAAAAAAGAUUCAAGAACUCACCAAAAGCAUUUUGAGGCCAUUUGGUGUGAGACCAAAGCCCCCAACACCUCACUCUUCCUUGAAGAAUCACUGUGCUAUUGCUUACUGAUCUUCUUGAGUCCUCUACUUGAGUCAGUUCUGUUUACCAAGCAUAUUACACACUCUCUCCUCAUAACAGCUCCAUCAUGCAAGAACUGUUGUAUCAACUCUUACAUUUAUUUUGUAGCUGAGAAAAGUGAGAGAUUUUUUUCUCUAGCUUUUCCAAGACUCAUUAUUGAGCAGGGGAGCUAGCAUAUGAAUCUUGGUAGUCGGAUUCCAGAGUUCGUGCCUUUCCCAUAAUCUCCAGUCCCCAGAAGAGAACAGGCCAGAGCACAGGGAGGCAGUAUAAUAUAGUGGUUAGACUUUCUAGCUUCAGAUUGUAGUUCUGUUACUUUCUGAUUUUUUUAACUAAUGUUCAUUGCCUCUGUUUCUGUAUUUAUAAAAUAUUGCACUGGAUUUUAAAGUUGUUUGUACUUACAUCAUAGGGUUAUUGUGAGGAUUCAGUGAGACUUUGUAUGUAAAUAACGCAGUGCCCAGCACAUAUUAAGAGCUCGGAACACGUUAGCUACUAUACUUUAUAUAAAAUACAGU